CCUACGGGAUGCAGCAGUGGGGAAUAUCGCACAAUGGGCGCAAGCCUGAUGCAGCCAUGCCGCGUGUAUGAAGAAGGCCUUCGGGUUGUAAAGUACUUUCAUCGGGGAGGAAGGUGUUGAGGUUAAUAACCUCAGCAAUUGACGUUACCCGCAGAAGAAGCACCGGCUAACUCCGUGCCAGCAGCCGCGGUAAUACGGAGGGUGCAAGCGUUAAUCGGAAUUACUGGGCGUAAAGCGCACGCAGGCGGUCUGUCAAGUCGGAUGUGAAAUCCCCGGGCUCAACCUGGGAACUGCAUUCGAAACUGGCAGGCUAGAGUCUUGUAGAGGGGGGUAGAAUUCCAGGUGUAGCGGUGAAAUGCGUAGAGAUCUGGAGGAAUACCGGUGGCGAAGGCGGCCCCCUGGACAAAGACUGACGCUCAGGUGCGAAAGCGUGGGGAGCAAACAGGAUUAGAUACCCCUGUAGUC
Molecule: ribosomal RNA, 465 nt
Filed under: uncultured bacterium
Lineage: Bacteria
Description: bacterial SSU rRNA
Rfam family: Bacterial small subunit ribosomal RNA
Source: RNAcentral